Molecule: long non-coding RNA, 777 nt
Organism: Rhincodon typus (whale shark)
Lineage: Eukaryota; Metazoa; Chordata; Chondrichthyes; Orectolobiformes; Rhincodontidae
Exons: 4
Source: RefSeq, a predicted model, not a curated record
CUUCUACGCCACCUCCGUAACAUUAGGCUUCGCCCCCUCCCAUUCAAAACAACACGUGCAGUAACGGGCACCAGCCCGGGGCGCAUGCGCAGUUCCUUCCACUCACUCAGAGCAGUUGAAGGCCGAUGGCGCUCCUCAACCGUAAGGAAGACGGCAAGGUCUCUUUGGUCAGCUCUUACUGUUCAAGUCCUCAGUGAUUGCCAGCACAAGAAACUCCCUCAGUUGCCACAGCACUGACGUCAGUUGCUGCUAGAUGGAGCCGUCACUCAAAGCAGGCAACUGGCUUUCCCCUUUUUUGAUCCUCUGGACUAACGUAUCUACAGAAGUGCACUCCCACAUUAAUCACAAGGUGACAAGACAGAAAUUGAUGCUCUCAGAUUGAUGUUUACACAGUCAAACAAUCAACUCUUACAAAGGUUGCAACCUCUUUACCCAGCAAAUUACCUUCAAUUCAAAAGAGGAAAAACUACACUUAAGCAGCUCAAAAUGUUAAAAUGAUUCUAGAACAGAAGUUACCAGCGAUUUGUUGAUAAAAUAUAUUUUUGCGCAUCUACAUUUUCUGGUGAAAACUACAAAGGACAGGCUAUGAAACUAUGUUAUAGUGGAAGAUAACUAAGGAAAGCUCUGUGCCUUGAUAACCAAAAUAAAAUUGGAAAUAUGCCUAUUUCCCUCAGUGAAGGGUUUUCUUAACCUAAGAUAUGGGAGCACCUUCUUGAUAUGGGUAGUGGUUCAGAUCAACUAGGGAUAAACAUUUAAUGGCAGCUUUGGUGGCAAUGA